Molecule: transfer RNA, 74 nt
Filed under: Candidatus Kappaea frigidicola
Lineage: Bacteria; Pseudomonadati; Candidatus Omnitrophota
Description: tRNA-Gly
Rfam family: tRNA
About the family: Transfer RNA (tRNA) molecules are approximately 80 nucleotides in length. Their secondary structure includes four short double-helical elements and three loops (D, anti-codon, and T loops). Further hydrogen bonds mediate the characteristic L-shaped molecular structure. tRNAs have two regions of fundamental functional importance: the anti-codon, which is responsible for specific mRNA codon recognition, and the 3' end, to which the tRNAs corresponding amino acid is attached (by aminoacyl-tRNA synthetases). tRNAs cope with the degeneracy of the genetic code in two manners: having more than one tRNA (with a specific anti-codon) for a particular amino acid; and 'wobble' base-pairing, i.e. permitting non-standard base-pairing at the 3rd anti-codon position.
Source: RNAcentral
GCGAGUGUAAUUUAAUGGUAGAAUGCCAGCUUCCCAAGCUGAAUACGGGAGUUCGAUUCUCCUCACUCGCUCCA